AAAGCAAGAGUGGAACUGGCGUCUGAUAUGGUGGACCAGCUGUGGAUGGGCUGGAGGCAAAAAGUCUGGUGAGUGGACAGCACUGACCAUCCAGCCGUUGGUAGUUUUAUUGGUUGAGUUUGGACGCUAAUCCAGCCACUUAUGGAAUGGCUAGCACAGUCCAAUCCCCUUUGAUUUUGGGACGUGGUCCACUCACAUGGUGGCUUACAGGAGGGAUUGAACUGUUAUGCAGCCGGCUGCAUUUUAGAAUUUAUCCUAUUCUAACCCAAACGGGUGGGAAAUGGUUUUAUGAGAAAAUCGGCUAAUUUGGCCUUAGGUGAGAGAAAAUUGGUGUUUGGAUGUGCAAUAUGAAUAGUUUGCAAUUCUCCUCAAUUAUGAUUUUUAACCUUCAAGAUUUGGGAAAAAGAAUUGUUUUACUUUAUUCUGAUAAAAUGAAUUUAUCGCGCACAAUUAGGUGGACAGUCCAAUAAUCCAUCUUGAAUAUUCAUUCAUGUCGUACCAUUGUUGGGUUGCUAGGGAACAGAGGUCACGGUCAAAUUGAAGAUCCUAAGCUUCUGAUCCAUUGCAUGAAAAUAAUGGACCACCGAGAAUAGGUGGAGUAAAACUUGAGUCUGACAUUGUUUUGAAAUAUCUAAUAUUGGACGGCUGAAUCGGCCUCUUUUCUUCUUUUAAUUGUCUGAAAUGGGUCAGUUCUAUGGGUUGUAACAAAAUGGGCACUGCACGUUCACCGGUUAGGAUCAUCCGGUUCGUGUGGUUCUUGGAUCAUGGCAUGUUGCAAGUUUAUUCGAAAUAGGACAAUCCGACAUCUUAUGCAUAUUGCAUGUUAUGGUAUUAUAGAAGGUAGUGUUAGUUACCUGUUUUAGCUAGCAAUAGUAAUUGUUGUUUACAGUUUUAGCAAGUAGGGCAUGGCGGGAGUCUUUCUCAUUAUGUCUUCUCAAGCACUUGUGCAUCAGAGUUAUUCAGAGCCCGUUUGAGGAAGUGUUAUUUUUUUUCUCUUUUGAUUUGAUUAAAUUAGAAAAAGUGUUAUAUCAAACACAAAUCAUGGCAAAAAUGGGAUAUGAUUCAACCACAAAUUUCAAGGUUUUGUGUCCCUAACUACAAUCAUUGGAGCAUUCAAUGAAAGUUCUCUUUUGAUCUCAAGAGUUACGGAAUUUGGUAGAGAGUGGGUACACUAAUGUAACCAAACACAUAAGCGUUUGAAGCCCUUCUACAAUUAAGAAAAGAAGCAUUUCAAGGUAUCAGAAAGAAUUAUAAGAAAGGAAAAAGAAGCACUAUUUCAUUGAUAAUAUCAAUUGGAAGACACCGGUUAAAACAAUAAAAAAAUUGAACUCGUCUCUGAAUUUUUUCAGAGUUUAAAUUGACAGUGGAAAAGCAAAGGGGCUUCUCUUUGAAAGUUAUUAGAAUUGAUGAAGGGGGUGAAUAUACCUCAAAUGCUCUUGAAAACUUUUGAAUUAGGUGGCUAAAAGAAAAACUAGAAUGAUCAUGGAGAUGAUGAGAAGCAUGUUGAAAGGAAAAGGCAAGUUUAUUUCCUUUUGGGCAGAAAUUGUAGCUAGCAUAGUGUACCUGUUGAAUAUGUCUACUUGUGAAAAGCCUUGAUCAUGAGACAUCAUCAGAAAAAAAAAACACAUGGGAGUCAGAGAUCAAAUCUCUCAUAUUUGUGUAUUUCGACUCCAUCUGUGCACAUGCGCUACUGGAAAAAAUGAAGAAAUUUGAUAAUAAAGGAAUCAAAUGUCUUCAAUGACCAUAGUAAGAAGGCAUACACACUAUACUAUCUGGUUACAAGUAAUUGUUAAUAGAGAUUAGAAAUUCAAUUAAGCAAGUGCUUGAAAUUAGACCAAGGAAGAAAAGCGAUAGCUUGGAAUACAUGUUAAUUUUGAAGAUGAAGUGGUUGGUCUAGUUGCUUCUCCAAGUCCAUCUCCACCAGAUACUCAGACAUAGGCAUCAUCAUCGAGAGCAUCUUCACCUUCACCUUCAAUGUCUCUUUCCAUUAGGUCGGCAUCAUCAACGAGAUCAUCUUCACCCUCAAUGUCUCUAUCCAUUAGGCCCACUUGUAGAAAUCUUCCUUACAUCUAGAUUACCCAUAAAUCUGAAGUAACCCGUGAUAAUGAUAUUGAUGAUGAUCUGAUUAAUUACAUGUUAUUCUCAAAUUGUGAUCCUCUUUAGAUUUAAAGAAGCUGUCAAAGAAGAAAAGUGUGUCAAAUUCAUGGACAAAGAAAUCGAAGUAAUUCAGAGUGUAAAAUAAUUGAUUUGAAGUGGGUCUAUAAGACCAAGUAUAAGGCGGAUGGUUCAUAAAUAUGCAUAAAUCAAGGUUAGUGGUGAAAGGUUGCAAACAAAAGCCCAAUAAUGGAGAGAUCGAAGUGAUUCAAGGUGUAAAAUAAUUGGUGUGAAGUGGGUUUAUAAGACCAAGUACAAUGCAAAUGAGUUCGUUGAUUGGCACAAAGCAAGGCUAGCAGUGAAAUGUUAUAAAUAAAAAAUCCAUUAUGCAAACCUCUUUGUAAAAGAAAAAAAGUGGGUCAAAGCUGGACGAAGAAAUGAAAGCGAUUCAUAAAACAAUAUGCAGGAGUCAACUUCUAGCCGGGUAUAAACAAAUCGGUGUGAAGUAGGUUUAUAAGACCAAGUACAAGGCAAAUGAGUCAAUUGAUAAGCACAAAACAAAGUUAGUGGUGAAAUGCUACAAACGAUAUCUCCAUAUUAACUAUCAUGAAAUAUUUGUUCCUAUUGCUCGAAUUUGAUAUGUUAGUUUGCUAAUAUCUUUAAUGACA
Molecule: long non-coding RNA, 2762 nt
Organism: Magnolia sinica
Lineage: Eukaryota; Viridiplantae; Streptophyta; Magnoliopsida; Magnoliales; Magnoliaceae
Exons: 2
Source: RefSeq, a predicted model, not a curated record